RNAcentral lists this ribosomal RNA (253 nucleotides) under uncultured bacterium. Its description in RNAcentral is "partial 16S ribosomal RNA". It matches the Rfam family "Bacterial small subunit ribosomal RNA", at positions 524 to 776 of the family's 1533-position model. The record is from RNAcentral.
UACAGAGGGGGCAAGCGUUAUUCGGAAUUAUUGGGCGUAAAGGGCGCGUAGGCGGCUUUGCAAGUGACGGGUGAAAUCCCUCGGCUUAACCGAGGAACUGCCUGUCAGACUGCAUAGCUUGAGACCGGGAGAGGUGAGUGGAAUUCCCAGUGUAGCGGUGAAAUGCGUAGAUAUCGGGAGGAACAUCAGUGGCGAAGGCGGCUGCCUGGCCCAAUACUGACACUCAGGUGCGACAGCGUGGGGAGCAAACAGG